This 463-nucleotide long non-coding RNA is filed under the name Malus domestica (apple). RNAcentral describes it as "long non-coding RNA (MDOM_LNC009507)". Lineage: Eukaryota; Viridiplantae; Streptophyta; Magnoliopsida; Rosales; Rosaceae. The record is from RNAcentral.
AUCAAUCUUGGUCGUUGGCCGACAACCAGACUGCAACAUCGUCUUGACUCACUCCAGCAUCAACAGAUUCCAACUUCAAACCCUCUUCGACCCUUUUUGCCAAAAUCGUUCUCACCGAUUUGUCAACAGGUAAGAUCCUGGAGUUUUUAUUUGGCAUCCUAGACCUCAUCUCUUUUGCCAUUGUUCCUCAAAACUUUCAUAUCGGUACAUCAACUUAACUCUCAUUUAUUUCAACAGCUCAACUCUCUUUCUAUUUCAAACCUAAAGAUUGAUUAUUUUUCUUUUUUCUCUGUUUUUAUUUUCCUCGGAAAAACACAAUCUUUGUCGAAAAAGUUUGAAUUUGCCCAUCCCUGAGAUUUUCUUUGUGGGUUUUGGUUAUCGGGUUGCGAAUUUAAAAGGGUUUUGUCUUUGGAAGGAGAUGGAUAUCGGUGGCGAUGAUCGAUGUUCGUUGUUGUGUGGAUGA